CCUCAAAACCUUGUAGUAUCUAACAUGGUUCUUGAUGUAUAAAUGGAUAUAUAUGUUCAAUCUGAUUGACCCUUUGACAACAGAAAGAUUGUCCUUUGGACUGCCUAAUCAUUUCUCCAAGGGACAAUCUCCCCUUCUAUUGACAUCAUGAUCUUAGUGGAUGCAGUGGCAGAGCCAUAUGUAUUCAAGAGGUGUCUCGGAAAAUUAUUGAAAAGGAAACCAAGGUAAAAACUACAAAAAAUUAUUGAAUUAGUGUUAGAUGUUAUGAAUUUGGCAAAAACCUGUGGUACGUGGAAACGUUUGUGUUAUGUGGCUGGAAAAGUUUCUAUCACGUUUUCAGCUUGCUGGAUCAUUGCAGUUUACGUGUUAAAAGGAUCUAACGGGAAGAUCUUACAUCUUUCCAAGUUGCAGGGACAAAUAUGACGUACAUAGAAAAACGUCUUUUAGAGUAAGUAUGGGUGAAAUUCAAAAAUAGCCAGAUUCACAAGUA
This is a long non-coding RNA of Nicotiana attenuata, 490 nucleotides long. RefSeq lists it as uncharacterized. The transcript has 2 exons. Lineage: Eukaryota; Viridiplantae; Streptophyta; Magnoliopsida; Solanales; Solanaceae. The record is from RefSeq and is a predicted model, not a curated record.